This 292-nucleotide ribosomal RNA is filed under the name uncultured bacterium. Its description in RNAcentral is "partial 16S ribosomal RNA". It matches the Rfam family "Bacterial small subunit ribosomal RNA", at positions 505 to 796 of the family's 1533-position model. The record is from RNAcentral.
GUGUCAGCCGCCGCGGUAAUACGGAGGGGGCAAGCGUUGUUCGGAAUUACUGGGCGUAAAGGGCGAGUAGGCGGCUCUGUAAGUCGGAUGUGAAAGCCCCCGGCUCAACCGGGGAACUGCAUCCGAAACUGCGGAGCUUGAGUCCGGGAGAGGGAAGCGGAAUUCCCAGUGUAGCGGUGAAAUGCGUAGAUAUUGGGAGGAACACCAGUGGCGAAGGCGGCUUCCUGGACCGGUACUGACGCUCAGGAGCGAAAGCUAGGGGAGCGAAUGGGAUUAGAAACCCCAGUAGUCC